GUGGACUCGGCGUGUCGAAGGGAACCCGGAUUUUAGCUCCAGCUUUGUGGUUGUUACUUUUCGGGGGGAGAAAUUGCUCACUGAACCUAGCUUGAGAUUGGCUGGCAGCUGAAUCCCUGGGGAUGUGCCCGUCGCUAUGCAACUGUGCUGGCAUUAUUGUUGAUCAUACUAUGCUUUGUUUAUUAAGCCCUGUAGGAAUUAUGAAGAGGAGGCUCCACCCCCUUCUAAGAUCAUGAAAACACAGAGCAAAAAGAAGUGCAAUCCCGUCUCUGCCCAACAGGUGGUACAGUACUCUCCUUCAGUCUUUGCCACCAUUUCUCAGACCACUGCCAGGAAAUCUUCCCUUCACAGAUGAAAAAAUGUCCAUGAGGUGAUGCAAUCUGUCCAGGAUCACACAGCCAGUCGGUGUCAGAGUCUGUGGAGAAAAAGUGAGAUUCCUCUUUUGGUCCCUUUUCCAAUCCUUGCUGCAGAGUAACCUGCUCAUACGCGCACAUCGCACAUCGUGCAGGGUCUGGUUUGUAUGCAUUGGUGCUACAAGUGGCUGUUAUCUUCCUGCGCCUUCCAAGGAGGUCAUGUUCUGCAACUCGCUUUUCCUACUUAGCCCCAAGACUUAGAAUCUUUACCAUUUGGGUUUUGAUUGAUUUGAUGAUUGAUUGAUUUUUGUUGUUUUUCAAAACAGGGAUUCUCUGUGUAGCCCUGGCUGUCCUGGAACUCUUUAUGUAGACCAGGCUGGCCUCCAACUCAGAUAUUUGCCUGCCUCUACCUCCUAAGUGUUAAGACUAAAGGUGUGCGCCACCGC
Mus caroli (Ryukyu mouse) is the source of this 799-nucleotide non-coding RNA. The record is from RefSeq and is a predicted model, not a curated record. NCBI's taxonomy places the organism in Eukaryota, Metazoa, Chordata, Mammalia, Rodentia, Muridae.